AGGUAGCUGGGAUUACAGGCGCCCGCCACUACACUUGGCUAAUUUGUUGCAUUUUUAGUAGAGACGGGGUUUCACCAUGUUUGGAUGGUUUUUAAAGGAAAUGAAUCAGCUUUCAUGGUUUCAUGACAGGGUUGCUAAAACUUUGCUCUAUACGAUUUUCCCAUAUGUCCUCCACAUACAGGAAUUGGUUUAUUUUGGCAUACACUGAUAAUCAAAACCGUGCACUUCCUGUGUCCUGUGUGGACAUCUGUUAAUGAUGCAAGAGGAUCUAUAGCUAUUAUCUUUCAGAAUAAUGAAAAUAUCAUUUCUGUUAAAUGUAUUUUAGACCUUAUCACUUUACAGUCCAGGCAUCUUAAGCUGUCUUCCAUUUUUUCCCAUCUUUUUUUUCGCCUCUUAGUGUAUUCUGGAUACAUUUUUUUUUUCAGAGAGCGUCUCUGUUGCCCAUUCUAGAGUGCAUUGGCAUGAUCACGGCUCACUGCAACCUCGAUCUCCCUGGCUUCAGUAAUCCUCCCACUUCAGCCUCCCAAAUAGCUGGACUAUAGGCAUGUGCCACCACACUAAGCUAAUUUUUUUUUUUUUUAGUAGAGACUAGGUCUUGCUAUGUUGCCUAGGCUGGUCUUGAACCCCUGAGCUCAAGUGAUUCUCCCGCCUUGGCUUCCCAAAAUGCUGUGAUUACACUGAACCCAUGGAUACAUUUUUCUGUAUCUAAUGCUACUGUUAAGCCCAUCUAUUGAGUUUUUAAUUUGAGUUAUUGUUUUCAUUCCUAGACAUUCUAGACAUUUCUAAACAUUUAGUUCUUUUUCAACUAUGCUAGAUCACCUUUUAUAUUUUCUAUAUCUGCAGAAAUUUUUUCAAGCUUGUGUCUAAUAAUUCCAAUACUUCAAUUAUUUGUGGGUCUGUUUCUACUUUCUAUUGUUCCUGUUCUUGCUCAUGAUGCCUCAUUUCCUGUGGUUGGUUAUUUUUGGCUGUGUGCUUCUCAUCACCUUAGAAAAGUUGUAUGUGGGGGUUCUUUGAGGUCAAGGAUAAAGGUGCCUCCUCUGUAGAGAAUUUGUUUUUGUAGUUGCCGCAUAAAAACUGUACUAUUUAGCCUGGGAUCACUUUAAAUUCAUGGCUUGAGGUUCUUGUGGACCACCCAGAUGAUGUAAAUUUUAGGUAAAAAUUUUUGUUAGAGCUAAUUUGUAGUUAAAAAAAAAA
RNAcentral lists this long non-coding RNA (1194 nucleotides) under Homo sapiens (human). RNAcentral describes it as "non-protein coding lnc-CREB5-4:1". Lineage: Eukaryota; Metazoa; Chordata; Mammalia; Primates; Hominidae. The record is from RNAcentral.